CCCGCUGAACUUAAGCAUAUCAAUAAGCGGAGGAAAAGAAACCAACAGGGAUUGCCUCAGUAACGGCGAGUGAAGCGGCACCAGCUCAAAUUUGAAAUCUGACCUCCGGGUCCGAGUUGUAAUUUGUAGAGGAUGUUUCGGGCACCGCUCCGGUUUAAAUUUCUUGGAACAGAAUGUCAAAGAGGGUGAGAAUCCCGUCUUGGACCGGCGGUAGGGCCUGUGUGAAACUCCUUCGACGAGUCGAGUUGUUUGGGAAUGCAGCUCAAAAUGGGUGGUAAAUUUCAUCUAAAGCUAAAUAUUGGCCAGAGACCGAUAGCGCACAAGUAGAGUGAUCGAAAGAUGAAAAGCACUUUGAAAAGAGAGUCAAACAGUACGUGAAAUUGUUGAAAGGGAAGCGCUGGCAACCAGACUUGAGUGGGACGGCUCCCCCUUCCUUCUGGUUGGGUCAUUCUGUCCUGUCCAGGCCAACAUCGGUUCGGGUGGCCGGUUAAAGGCCCCGGGAAUGUAUCUUCCCUUCG
RNAcentral lists this ribosomal RNA (518 nucleotides) under uncultured fungus. Its description in RNAcentral is "eukaryotic LSU rRNA". It matches the Rfam family "Eukaryotic large subunit ribosomal RNA", at positions 24 to 549 of the family's 3401-position model. Lineage: Eukaryota; Fungi. The record is from RNAcentral.